GGGGGGGGGGGGGGGGGGGGGGGGGGGGGGGGGGGGGGGGGGGGGCGGGGGGGGGGGGGGGGGUGCGGGGGGGGGAGGGGCGGCCGGGUGCGGGAGACGGCGGAGUCUACGUUUACGUGGGGGAUAAGGUGGGGAAACGUCCGCUACUCCCGCCUACGACCUGCGCGUGAAAGCAGAGUAUCUUCGGACCUUGCGCGAUUGACUGGUCCGAUGGCGGAUAAGCUAGUGGGCGGGGUAAAGGCGCACCCAGGCGACGAUCCGUAGUUGGCCUGAGAGGAUGAGCAGCCACACGGGAACUGAGACACGGGCCAGACUCCUACGGGAGGAAGCAGUGGGGAAUAUUGGACAAUGGGGGCAAGCCUGAUCCAGCCAUACCGCGUGGGUGAAGAAGGCCUUCGGGUUGUAAAGCCCUUUUGUUGGGAAAGAAAUCCAGCCGGCUAAUACCUGGUUGGGAUGACGGUACCCAAAGAAUAAGCACCGGCUAACUUCGUG
RNAcentral lists this ribosomal RNA (492 nucleotides) under uncultured bacterium. RNAcentral's name for it is "partial 16S ribosomal RNA". The stretch from base 65 to 492 matches the Rfam family "Bacterial small subunit ribosomal RNA", at positions 39 to 507 of the family's 1533-position model. The record is from RNAcentral.